This 485-nucleotide ribosomal RNA is filed under the name uncultured bacterium. RNAcentral's name for it is "partial 16S ribosomal RNA". It matches the Rfam family "Bacterial small subunit ribosomal RNA", at positions 30 to 507 of the family's 1533-position model. The record is from RNAcentral.
AUUGAACGCUGGCGGCAGGCUUAACACAUGCAAGUCGAGCGGGGAAAGGUAGCUUGCUACCUGACCUAGCGGCGGACGGGUGAGUAAUGCUUAGGAAUCUGCCUAUUAGUGGGGGACAACAUCUCGAAAGGGAUGCUAAUACCGCAUACGUCCUACGGGAGAAAGCAGGGGACCUUCGGGCCUUGCGCUAAUAGAUGAGCCUAAGUCGGAUUAGCUAGUUGGUGGGGUAAAGGCCUACCAAGGCGACGAUCUGUAGCGGGUCUGAGAGGAUGAUCCGCCACACUGGGACUGAGACACGGCCCAGACGCCUACGGGAGGCAGCAGUGGGGAAUAUUGGACGAUGGGGGGAACCCUGAUCCAGCCAUGCCGCGUGUGUGAAGAAGGCCUUUUGGUUGUAAAGCACUUUAAGCGAGGAGGAGGCUACCGAGAUUAAUACUCUUGGAUAGUGGACGUUACUCGCAGAAUAAGCACCGGCUAACUCUGUG